GAAAAGGGCUGGGUUCUGCCUUGCAACUUACAAAUAACACGAGCGGGCUCUGCGACUUGCGACUGUUGUAUGCUCAACACUGUUAUUUCUGAAAAGCGAUUUAGCGGGCUCUGAAAACUCUGCGGAUACCUGCGCUCUGCUUCCCAGACGAUUUUCCGGCGACGAGCGACACCGGAGAGACGAUAUUUGAGAGGUGUUAUUAUGUUAAGGAAGAUGACGGAAGAAGGAGAGGCAUUGACAUUUCCUAUGAUGAGGGAAUCGGAGGCUGCUUCUCGACUCAAAUCCACUGUUUCCUAUUUGCUUCCUCAACUCUCCGACGAUUACUCCGAUGACGUCCUCGCUGAGUACAUCACAGUGCUUGUUUGUAAUGGAAAGAGUCAGCGUCAGGCAAGAGAAGAUUUGCAGGCAUUUCUUGGGGAUCAAUCUGAAGGAUUUGUUUCCUGCUUAUGGGAACUCCUCCGGAAGGAACUCUCUCGAGAUGGACUGGAAAAUUUUGCUUCUGACCCUAUGGCUCCUGCUGAGUUUGGUGCCCAUGAUAAUCUCAUGAACAGACAUUCAAACUCUGAAGGGACUAAGGACUAUACGAACAACACCUUCAGUAUUGCUACUGGUGUAAAGGGUCGCAUUAAUGGUUCUUCCAGAAGGCUGAAAGCAACAGAGAAUGAUGAUUGGAAUUCAUCCCCUUCCAUUUACUCAAGAAAGCUAAGCUCGAUUGUGGUUUCAGGUUUUCAGCAACCAGGUGGUAUGAAUCCCGAUAAAUUUGAGAAGACUGCCCAUCAAAGUAGUCGAGCUAUGCAGCAGCCGUGCUUACCAAAAGAAGAAACGAAUACUAAGUACUCUCAAUCUAUACAACCAGUAGGGCUUGUCUCUGACGGAUAUUGUGAUGCACCUUCUUAUUGCAAAACGAAGCCUCGCAUUAGUGUUUGGGAUCGUUUGGGCUCCCUAAACUCUGAUCUGUUCAAGGACUUAAAGAAUCCUCGAAUGCCUGAGACUGAUAUUCAGUCACAUGAGAAGCAAAUACCUCACGCGAAUGGACCGGCGUUUCUUGCAGCUAAUGGUGAACAUUUCAAGAGAUUUCAAAGAGAAGUUACUGCUGUUGGUAACAGGCAUAAAAGCUUCCAAUCUCACACAGCUAGGCAACUGGAGACUGGAAUUAUUACGUGCAAUGGACCUCCUAUGGCCCAUAACCGCACUAGUAAGAGGCGGUAUGGGGACAUAUGCUCUAAUGCCGGUGAUGAUUCAGUCAAUCAGGUUAGUAGAGUUCUCCACAGAGAACCAUCACAGGAUAUCGAGAGGCCCAAGUCACUUUCCUAUCUAUCUGCGAAGUCAGAUCUUCUCUCGGAAAUACUGAACACAAAGAAAAAACUGCUUCAAAUUGAAAUGCGAAUUCUUCAAUCAAAACAGCUGAAGAAACAAAAAGUCGGAGCAUUGCCAUCAGAGUCUGGUGAAUUGCAGGCUCGACAAGAUGACGUGGAGUCAAAAUCUAUCCAUGUUACAAAUGUACAUUUUGCAGCAACUGAAGAAGCUAUAUCAGUGUUCUUCGCCAAGUGUGGAGCUGUUGAAAAUGUUGUUAUUGUAACUAACCCGGAAAGUUUGAAGCCAAUAGGGGCUGCUUUCGUUACUUUUGCAAGCAAGGAGUCAGUUGACAGAGCAAUAUUGCUGAGUGGUAGUGCAUUCUAUUCAAGGACAGUGAAGGUCAUGAGGUCAGCAGAUGUAACUGCCGGAACAGAAACGUUGACCAAGACCAACAGAAGCAGCCUCUCAGGACCACCAUUCAACCGCAGGAGCCGUCAUCUACAAUGGCUCCGUGACUCCGACUCCACUCCUUCCCCAUCAGAAGCACUGUUUUACUGAAACACAGUCACCGCCCCAGAGGAAUCUUCUUGUUCCUCACCCCCUCGGAUAUCUUCUUCCUUGGAGCCGGCGAUUUCGAUUUGGACUGUACAGCUUAACUCAGGAACCGUAGUAAAUACGCAGAAGCGGCAGAAUAGAGCAUGAAGAGUUGGUGACAAACACUUGUACAAGUUUUUUCCUUCACGUCUACUGCUCCCAAUUCAUUUUUGACGUCGUUUUUAAUUGAGUUUUGCAGCUCUAAAACGGUACCGGGUAUAUCUCUCGAUAUUAUACAUUGGUAUUGGGUUCCACUCUCCACAUCCUUUUAUACUGUCAUUGCUUGAGAAAACAUAACCAGCUAAACUGAUCUUGAUGUUGAUAUGAAAAAGUGUUUAGGGGAUGAGUUUACGAGGCGAUGAAUACGUACAGCAGUUACAAGUGAAGUGCAGGAGACAGAGAAAGACGGUACUACACAUCAAAAGCUACUCUACCACAAAAACGGAAACCAAAACACUUCGGACGCACAAUCCUAACCCCAUGCAAUAUCUGAAACGGGCUUUCCGCACUGUCGUCAUCACUACCUCAGUUUCAGCGGCUUCGAGCAUUUUCACCAUCUCAGGAAACGACGGGCGAACCUCGGGAUUGGAGUCCCGGCAGCGGGUCAUGAUCUCGCUCAGUACAGGGAUGCAAUCCCUCGGGAUGGUCGGACGUACACCCCUGUUCACCACCGCAAACGCCGCUUGUACUGCUGCCAUGUUUCGGAACGGUAAAAGACCUGCGAUUAGCUCCCACAGAACAAUUCCAAAACUAUACGCGUCCACUUUCUGGGUGUAACGCCUAUUCUGGAUCAUUUCUCUGCAACUGUAAAGAGGGCAAGAGAUUACGAGAGAUACAGAUAAUAGAGGACACGGCAAAAAAAGAUGAGCUCUGAAUAUAGCAGUGCUUGAAAAUCGCAGAAAAAACAAGAAA
RNA transcript from Tarenaya hassleriana, 2802 nucleotides. RefSeq lists it as uncharacterized. NCBI's taxonomy places the organism in Eukaryota, Viridiplantae, Streptophyta, Magnoliopsida, Brassicales, Cleomaceae. The transcript has 12 exons. The record is from RefSeq and is a predicted model, not a curated record.